Molecule: long non-coding RNA, 971 nt
Organism: Varanus komodoensis (Komodo dragon)
Lineage: Eukaryota; Metazoa; Chordata; Lepidosauria; Squamata; Varanidae
Exons: 3
Source: RefSeq, a predicted model, not a curated record
GUUCGAAAGAGAGACUGAUGCUUAUGGUAGGAUAAGGUGAUACUACUUGUGAAGCUGAGAGAAACAACCACAUGAUCAUUGAUACAUGACUUACUAAAAGGAAAAGUCAUUUCAGAGGCUGGGCAUCACCACAAAGAAGACCUAUUGCUGACAGAUGACUCAGCUGGAUGAGAUACAGUGGUCUAACAGGUCUAUAUAGUAGAAGGCAAUCAGACUUUCAGGUUUCCGAGGAGACACCAUGGGGAGGAAUAGAGCUUCUCUCUUUAAUGGCCUCAAUCAUGAGCCAAGUUCAGUACACUGAGGUUGUCAAGCAGUCUCUGUCGCACAAACACGGCUCGUGUCUUAAAGCACGUGGAUGAGAUGGAGCUGACCAAGCACACUUGCCACCUGCUCCAGAGGGGACUGCCUGAUUCUUGUUAAGUGUGUGUGAGGGGGGAUCCGAUGUUCAGUGCUACAGAAAGGAGCAACAGUACCCAGUUGAUUUCUCCUCUGCUCCUCCAUGUGCACCUGAAGAAGCACCUCCUGCUCAUGAGCAUGGAGAAGAAUCAGUUGGGAGUGGUGCCUGGCUGUCAGCUCUGCCACUCAGUUAAUUCCACUCCCUCCACCUGUGCCAGAGAAAAGCCCCUCUUUUAUAUGUGAACAAGGUGGGUGGCAGUUGCUGAUUGGUGACAGCACAGAGUAGUUGAUUUCUCUGCUCAUCUCCUUUUCUCAUUUUCACUUGGGAGACAGGGUCCCCAACCCCACAGCAACAAAAGAGGAGGCAGACCUCAUCCCCUUGUUCUUGCUUACCAGAGAGGUGUCCUCAACACCUUUCAAGCAUCUGUGAUGAAGGGGGAGGUUGCACUCAUCCCCCUUCUUGCUUCCACUUAAAGAAAUGUCCUCAACCUGGUGCUUGCCCUCUUUCUCUCUUCUGCCUGCAAGAGAGCAGUUCCCAAAGGAGCAUCCACCUAAAUGCCUUUCUCAUAAGUAGA